UUAAUUCGAUGCAACGCGAAGAANCUUACUACUCUUGACAUCCAGGGAACUUUCAGAGAUGGAUUGGGUGCCUUCGGGAACUCUGAGACAGGUGCUGCAUGGCUGUCGUCAGCUCGUGUUGUGAAAUGUUGGGUUAAGUCCCGCAACGAGCGCAACCCUUAUCCUUUGUUGCCAGCGGUUCGGCCGGGAACUCAAAGGAGACUGCCNGUGAUAAACUGGAGGAAGGUGGGGAUGACAUCNAGUCAUCAUGGCCCUUACGAGUAAGGCUACACACGUGCUACAAUGGGCAUAUACAAAGAGAAGCGACCUCGCGAGAGCAAGCGGACCUCAUAAAGUAUGUCGUAAUCCGGAUUGGGAGUCUGCAACUCGACUCCAUGAAGUCGGAAUCGCUAGUAAUCGUAGAUCAGAAUGCUACGGUGAAUACGUUCCCGGGCCUUGUACACACCGCCCGUCACACCAUGGGAGUGGGUUGC
This 473-nucleotide ribosomal RNA is filed under the name uncultured Serratia sp. RNAcentral describes it as "bacterial SSU rRNA". It matches the Rfam family "Bacterial small subunit ribosomal RNA", at positions 946 to 1418 of the family's 1533-position model. The record is from RNAcentral. Lineage: Bacteria; Pseudomonadati; Pseudomonadota; Gammaproteobacteria; Enterobacterales; Yersiniaceae.